GUGGGGAAUAUUGGACAAUGGGGGGAACCCUGAUCCAGCCAUGCCGCGUGUGUGAAGAAGGCCUUUUGGUUGUAAAGCACUUUAAGCGAGGAGGAGGCGCUCUAGGAUAAUACCCUAGAUGCGUGGACGUUACUCGCAGAAUAAGCACCGGCUAACUCUGUGCCAGCAGCCGCGGUAAUACAGAGGGUGCGAGCGUUAAUCGGAUUUACUGGGCGUAAAGCGCGCGUAGGUGGCUAAUUAAGUCAAAUGUGAAAUCCCCGAGCUUAACUUGGGAAUUGCAUUCGAUACUGGUUAGCUAGAGUAUGGGAGAGGAUGGUAGAAUUCCAGGUGUAGCGGUGAAAUGCGUAGAGAUCUGGAGGAAUACCGAUGGCGAAGGCAGCCAUCUGGCCUAAUACUGACACUGAGGUGCGAAAGCAUGGGGAGCAAACAGGAUUAGAAACCCUAGUAGUCC
This 451-nucleotide ribosomal RNA is filed under the name uncultured Acinetobacter sp. RNAcentral describes it as "bacterial SSU rRNA". It matches the Rfam family "Bacterial small subunit ribosomal RNA", at positions 354 to 796 of the family's 1533-position model. The record is from RNAcentral. Lineage: Bacteria; Pseudomonadati; Pseudomonadota; Gammaproteobacteria; Moraxellales; Moraxellaceae.